AUGGAGUUGGGUUUGAGAUGGGUUUUUCUUGUUGCUGUUUUAAAAGGUGUCCAGUGUGAGGUGCAACUGGUGGAGUCUGGGGGAGGCUUAGUACCACCUGGGGGAUCCCUGAAACUCUCCUGUGCAGCCUCCAGAUUCACCUUUAGUGAUUACUACAUGGACUGUGUCCCCCAGGCUCCAGGGAAGGGGCUGGAGUGUGUUGGACAUAUUAGUAAAGAUGGUGGUAGUAUAUACUACCCAGACUCCGUGAAGGGCAGAUUCACCAGCUCCAGAGACAAUUCCAAGAGCCAGUUGUAUCUGCAGAUGAACAGCCUGAAAGCCGAGGACACUGCCGUGUAUUACUGUGUAAGACACCCAGUUAUGGGGCUUCAUUGUGAUCCCAGACACAAACCUCCCUGCAGGGACACUCAUGACCAGAGGGGGCGCACAGCACACAUGGAGCUCAGGCUCAGCCUCAGGUAA
Non-coding RNA from Castor canadensis (American beaver), 462 nucleotides. Lineage: Eukaryota; Metazoa; Chordata; Mammalia; Rodentia; Castoridae. The record is from the annotation of a RefSeq genome assembly.